Molecule: transfer RNA, 72 nt
Organism: Camelus ferus (Wild Bactrian camel)
Lineage: Eukaryota; Metazoa; Chordata; Mammalia; Artiodactyla; Camelidae
Rfam family: tRNA
About the family: Transfer RNA (tRNA) molecules are approximately 80 nucleotides in length. Their secondary structure includes four short double-helical elements and three loops (D, anti-codon, and T loops).
Source: Rfam
GCGAGUACAGCUCAGUGGUAGAGCACAUGCUUAGCACUCAUGAGGUCUUGGGUUCAGUCCCCAGUACCUCCA